GGCGCUGCCCGCGCUGCACGCCGAGCGCGCCGCGCUGCGGCGACAGCUGGCCGCCGCCACGGAGCAGGCCGCGGCGCUGAGGGCCGCGCACGGUUACCCGACUACCGAAGAGAUCUCUUUUCCUAAGGAAAGCGUGGACCAAUCUAUACAGGAGCAACCAAGCAACGGAGGGUGAUCGCCGCCGACCUAUACAAUGUGAAUACAACGUAACACGACAUAUUCUAUGUGCGGCCAUCUUGGACUAACAUCACGUCAUCUCCGCGCCACGCCAUUGGCCGGCGCCAUCAUGGAACAUCACGUUAUUUCCGCGCCAUUCCAUUGGCCGGCACGGGGGCGCGUGGCUUAAAUCGACCAAUCACUACAGCCCAUUUUAUUUUAAAGGUUUGUACUUUUAAUAGUCUGUAUAAUACGCGGCAUAGUAUUUUUUAAUUGUUAAACUGUAGAUUUGUCGAUGAAUAAUCAAAUUUUUGUAAAUGUUUAAAUUUAGAAUCGUCGGCAAAUGAUUCUAUUUUUAUCUAAGAUUUUUUAGGCUUAUUGUAAUGUAUUAAUAUUAAAUAAUGUGUUUUGUAAAUUAUAUUAUUUUUAUUGGCUUUUACAAUUUUUCACUUACUCUUUUUUAGAAAGUAUAUUGUUAGUUAAAAACUUAAACCUAGUAACCGCUAAUGAAAUAGUAUAAUUUACAAUAACAUUUUUAAAUUGAGAUUCUCACACUAUAGUCGCGUAUGACUUUAUAUAGGCUUUCUCUCUAACAGGGUUAACAGCCCGAUGAUGUAUCCAUAAAUGUUUAGUAACUUUAUUUUUAUGUGGCUUUUAGAAAUAUUUUUCAUUGAAAUCUUGUCUUCUAUAAUACGUACUAUACAGUCUUUAAAAAAAAAGCGAUUUUUUUCAUCCGAUUUCUACUGCUUGACAAUAAUGGUAGGAUUUUAGUAGGAAUUAAAGUUAUUUCUGGCAACACUACUUUCAACCUUUUUUAUUGGACGACGGCGAUUGAAAAUGCAAAGGAUUGGUUAUUUGUCGGUGUUGCCAUUAUAAUAGUAAUAAAUCUACUAUUUGCUGUCGAGGUGCACUUUUUUAUUCUUAUCUUUGUAUCUUCCUGUAAGUAGCAUUUUCAAAGUUGGUCCAGCAUUUAAGUAUGUUUUCGUUGCAUAAAGUUAUUUUUGUAUUUACGUUUUGACGACCGCGUUAGUAUAAGACUUGUGUAUAUUUUGUAAUAAUUGUUUUCUCAACUUAGCAUUACAUAUAAGUACCAACUAAUCGAUAGUAUUAAUAAAAAACAAAUCUAUUAUAUUCCAUGUAAGUUUAAUCAUGUGAUGUUUAUCAGCCGGUAAGUAAAGUAAAUGUAUUUUUUUCUCUGUAAUAUUUUUUUUCCAAAAAUUUAAUGUUUUUUUUUCUUUAAGUUAUAUGUGUUAUAGUUGGUGUAAAUAGGUAUAUUUUAGAGCUUUGUGACAGCCUUUUAGGGUCUUGUCACACUGAAUCGAUCGUAUGGAAAUCUUCCAACGUAAGUCGUCGAUAUAGAUUGCUUCAGUGGAAUAAGGCCCUACUGUACGGCACUUGUAUAAUACAGUUACUAUAUUUUUGGGAAUAUUCGGAUGUUCCGCGAAAUUCGUAUUUAUUGCAAGUAUUAUAUUGGACAAUAUUAUUACUACAUUUUGGGAAAUCAAACCUGUAAAAAUCAUUUCUUGAAAAGUUUUAAAAUUAUUAAAUGAAUAUUUCAUUUUAAUUUAGUUUGAAAGUUGUAAAGCUGUCUCUUUCCUGCACUCAUCGUUAGAGAAAGAUAGCAUUAUUUUUAGAACUGUCAAAUUGAAUUAUGUAUAAGUUUUUUUUUGUAAAAUUAAGUCUCAUCUGUGGAAUGAGUGUAUGGUACAUAAAUACAAUACUUAUUAUAUUAUCCAUCUCAGGACUUCGUACCUAAAGUGAAUGCAAGUUGACUUUGUGGCUCUGUCUACCCCAUUACGGAGGACGGGCGUCAGUUCAUGUUCAAAAUUACUUUUUUAUUUAAACCUUAUCUCAACUACAAUAUGUGUCAUAUUAUAAUAUAAUUGUUAAUAUAAGAUAUAAUAAAAAAUCAAUAAUAUUGCGAUGGAUGUCCCUCUGACUAACUCAAUCGGGGUAUAGUCGUGAGUCGAGAUUUUUUGUACUAUACAUUCAUUCUGAAGAUAUCUGGUUACAUUUUUUGAAAUUAUUGUCGUUUAUUAAAUUAAAUAACUAUAAAUGUAUCCCUACACACAAAUAUAGCGGGCGGGUAAUAUAUUUUAUUUGUUGCAGACAAGUAUCAAGAACUAUUUGUCAUUAUGUAUUUCAUAGCCAAAGGUGAAAAUAGAAUCGAAUUUCGUAAAAAAUAGUUACAACCAUUAAGAAAUAGGGAAGGCCCGUGCCCCAGCAGUGGGGACGUUAAUGGGCUGAUGAUGAUGAACCAUUAAGAAAUGGCAAUAGGAACUGGGCAUCCUCAGGCCUGUUGUCUUAAAUUAUGUACCGGGUGAGAGUCCUCAGCGCUCCCCAUUUGUCCGGCUAAGUAGUUAAUGCCAUCUGCGGCAAAUGUACAAUAAGACACGCCUAAAAAAAAGAGCAUUCGCUCACUACUGCUUUAACUGUUAAUAUAUCCGGCGGUAGAUGAGAUAUUGAAAAACGGAUUUCACAUUAAUUCUUGCAAUAGACAUACCUCUGACUACCCCAAAUGGGAUCUAUAUCCCAAUUACGAUUAUUCGUGAGUUUAUGUUGUCUUUGUAUAUAAUGAUGUAAGUGCCCACCUGCUAUAUAAGUGUUUGAAUAUAAUACAAGUACCUUACAUUUUGCCAUAUAACGCUGAUUACUCGGCCUGUGAUCCCGCACAUGCGCACUACACGUCUUACGUCUUUGAACCAGUUUAUUUUCAUACAUACAACUAAGGCCCUGCGCAGACGACAGACUAUCCGUGACGCACUUUUUUAUGCAAUUAUAUGCAGUAACGCGCCGGACUUUUUGCGCGUCGUGUGCGUUACUGCAUAUAAUUGCAUAGGUUAUAUUUUCACAGACUAAAAAGUGCGUCACGGAUAGUCUGUCGUCUGCGCAGGGCCUAACACUUAUGAAAGUGUGUUAUAAUGCAAUACUAAAACCAUUCUACGUAAAAAUACAAUAGAGGUAGGCAGAUGUGUAUAGUUUAUAAUAUACAUCGUCGCUAGAUAUGUUAUAUAUAGAAAGCUAAAAAAACUAAAAAAAAAACAGAUAAAGAAAUCUUUUUAAGCAACUUAUCCCAUUGAUAGUCAGUAACAUUUUUAACUUACGUGCUACGUUAGUAAACAGACUAAUUGUUUUUUUUUAAAUAGGUCGUUAUUAUGGUCAAUUGAAUUCACUUUGUUAAAAUUAUGACUUGAUUUUGUUCCAAGAUAUCGGAGACGUGUAGUGCGUUCUGUAAUAUAUAUGAGCUGUUUAUAACUUAUAUAUAUAUCUAGUUUAUUAUUUCUACAUAUAUUUUCUACUAUGAAAUGACUUUGUAUUCAUUAUAAAUGUUCGGUUAACUAAAUAGGAGGCUUAGAAAGGCCACAUUGAAGCAAUUCAUCUAAAAAACCAGUAUUGCAAAUUGACAUUAGCGCAUAUAGCAUAGCGCUAAGUGCGUAAUGCACACAAAUGUCAAAUAGCAAUAUUGUUUUUUUUUUUUGAUGAAUUGCUUUGAUGUGGCCUUUUUAAUCCCCCCAGGUCAUUAUUUAUUGCAUUCUUUAGAAUUACCAUAUCGUUGUUUAAUUUGAAAAUCAUGUAAGCGAAUUUAUGAAAAGUCACAUUCUGAUGUGAUUAUCAUCAACAAAACCUCUGUUUUUUCCAAUGAAUUUCCAAUCGGCGUUCCCCAAAAACACGGUAGUCGGCGUUAUUAAGUUUUUUCUUCGUUUAACCUAAUAAUCUUAUGGGUGACAGACAUAUGCAUCUUUUAUCUUAUGGGUAUAAAUUGAUGACCCUUUUUAUUACACCAAGGUAUAAUUACAACUUCCACCCACUAUUAUUCGGAUCAAAAUAAACAGAAGCAAUAUAGGUAUCAACAUCAUUCUAUACAUAAUGUAAUCCAAAUAUCAAGCAAAAAUUAGUUUUAUAUAUGCUUCUGCCAUUACAUUACAUUUUUGAAUAAUUAUGUACCCCAGCAAUGAGAAAAUAGGUAAUUAUUACGUUAAAAGUGAACAACGCCAUCUAUCGUGUGUUUGGGGAACAAUUGGCAAGUUCCUCAUUAAUUUCAAUCAGUUUCAAUAAUACAUGUUUCAAUAAAAAUAUACAGGGUGUUAGUGACAUCGUAACGAAUACUCAGGGGGAUGAUUCAGGCCAUGAUUCUGAGUUAAUAUCAAGUGGAAUUUUCCGUCGCAAAAUUCAUAUUUUUUUUUAAGUUUUUUAAAAUUAUUUUCAAUUCUAUACUUUUGCGAUGGAAAAUUCCACUUGAUAUUAAUUCAGAAUAAUCAGCUAAAUCAUCCCCCGCAGUAUUCGUUAUGACGUCACUUACACCCCGCACAAGUACAUACGGUAGCCAUAUAAGUAGGUAUGGGUGUUAGUGACACCGUAACGAAUACUGAAGGGGAUGGUUCAGACUAUGAUUCUGAGUUGAUAUCAAGUGGAAUUUUCAGUCCGAAUAUUCAUGAAAAUUUUAGUGUUUUUUUUUUAAUUAUUUUCAGUUCGAUACUUUUGCGACGGAAAAUUCCACUUGAUAUCAACUCAGAAUCAUGGCUUCAAUCACCCCUCAAAGUUUUCGUUACGAUGCCACUAUAUAAGUAAAAUAUUUUUUUACCUAGAUUGAAACUAGCCUCGCAAUAAACAAUUAUUGCGAGGUUCUGUUAACAAAAAAUCGAAUGUGAUUUAUCAUAAGGCGUUUUCGUGGUUUUCAUAAGGCCUCGAUAAAUACUAAUCAAGUGGCUUUAAGUAUUUAAAUGACGUUUUCUUAUUAUUUAAAUUUUAUCAGAAUCUCCAAACUUAAUGAAAAAUCUAUAAUCUCAUAUACACGUGAAUUAUAGUUUGAACAGCUUAUAUAUAAGUAUGUGAAAGGAAAUAAAGAUGUACCUAAAAUAAACGUGUAUAGUAAUAAUAAUGUAGCCAUAGCAUUGUAGCCAGAGUUUUGUAAAUAUAUACAACAUUGUAACCUGUAUACAGACAAAUAUAUAUUUUUUACCUUAGUAUAGACGUUAGACCAAAUGAUACCCAUCCAUUUUCCCAACACUAUAUAUUUUAUAUAUCACACGAGCGUUUUAUAAGCGUUUUAAUAUAAAUUGGCGUAAGUUAUAAAGUUGAUAAUUGCAUGUAAUUCUACCUUGCAAUAUGACGAUACUCCCAUUCAGUAUGUAAUCUAUUGUAAACUUAUAUUGUAUACCACCAAACGCAUAUAGCUGUAUCUAAGAUGUACCGCCGAAGUGAGGGCCGCAUUUAGGCCUCCCACUUUUGACUGGGGGGUCCGCACCCCCCAACAGGUUCACACUUCGUGGGUCAUAUGGACCCCCCAGUAUUGAGUGCGGCCCUGGCUUCGGUAAUAGCGUCGCUUCCUCCGCUUGACGUACGAAUGUAACGUUAGUUAGUGGUAUCAAUAAAUACCUACAACCAUUA
This 5544-nucleotide long non-coding RNA is filed under the name Pectinophora gossypiella (pink bollworm). RNAcentral's name for it is "uncharacterized LOC126378234". The record is from RNAcentral. Lineage: Eukaryota; Metazoa; Arthropoda; Insecta; Lepidoptera; Gelechiidae.